CGUUACGGCAAUGGACGGAAGUCUGACCGAGCAACGCCGCGUGAGUGAAGAAGGUUUUCGGAUCGUAAAGCUCUGUUGUAAGAGAAGAACGAGUGUGAGAGUGGAAAGUUCACACUGUGACGGUAUCUUACCAGAAAGGGACGGCUAACUACGUGCCAGCAGCCGCGGUAAUACGUAGGUCCCGAGCGUUGUCCGGAUUUAUUGGGCGUAAAGCGAGCGCAGGCGGUUAGAUAAGUCUGAAGUUAAAGGCUGUGGCUUAACCAUAGUACGCUUUGGAAACUGUUUAACUUGAGUGCAGAAGGGGAGAGUGGAAUUCCAUGUGUAGCGGUGAAAUGCGUAGAUAUAUGGAGGAACACCGGUGGCGAAAGCGGCUCUCUGGUCUGUAACUGACGCUGAGGCUCGAAAGCGUGGGGAGCAAACAGGAUUAGAUACCCUGGUAGUCCACGCCGUAAACGAUGAGUGCUAGGUGUUGGGUCCUUUCCGGGACUCAGUGCCGCAGCUAACGCAUUAAGCACUCCGCCUGGGGAGUACGACCGCAAGGUUGAAACUCAA
This 552-nucleotide ribosomal RNA is filed under the name uncultured Streptococcus sp. RNAcentral's name for it is "bacterial SSU rRNA". It matches the Rfam family "Bacterial small subunit ribosomal RNA", at positions 359 to 904 of the family's 1533-position model. Lineage: Bacteria; Bacillati; Bacillota; Bacilli; Lactobacillales; Streptococcaceae. The record is from RNAcentral.